AUGCUCGCUUUCGGCAGCACAUUAUACUAAAUUUGCAACGAUACAGAGAAGAUUAGCAUGGCUCCUGGCGCAAGGAUGACACGCAAAUUCGGUGAAGCGUUCCAUUAUUUU
This 111-nucleotide small nuclear RNA is filed under the name Tupaia belangeri (northern tree shrew). Lineage: Eukaryota; Metazoa; Chordata; Mammalia; Scandentia; Tupaiidae. The record is from RNAcentral.